RNAcentral lists this ribosomal RNA (2990 nucleotides) under Helicobacter cholecystus. RNAcentral describes it as "bacterial LSU rRNA". It matches the Rfam family "Bacterial large subunit ribosomal RNA". The record is from RNAcentral. Lineage: Bacteria; Pseudomonadati; Campylobacterota; Epsilonproteobacteria; Campylobacterales; Helicobacteraceae.
AAAUAAGCUUUUAAGGGCAGAUGGUGGAUGCCUUGGCAAAGAGAGGCGAUGAAGGACGUACUAGACUGCGAUAAGCUACGGGGAGCUGUCAAGAAGCUUUGAUCCGUAGAUUUCCGAAUGGGGCAACCCAAUACAUAGAGAGUAUGUAUUACCUUAAAUGGAGCGAACCUAGGGAAGUGAAACAUCUCAGUACCUAGAGGAAAAGAAAUCAAACGAGAUUCUCCUAGUAGCGGCGAGCGAACGGGGAAGAGGGCAAACCCAAUGCUUGCAUUGGGGGUUGAGGACUGCAACAUCCACUUGUAUCAUUUAGUAGAAUAAUUUGGAAAGAUUAGCCACAGAGGGUGAUAGCCCCGUAUAUGAAAAAUGAUACAUAGGUAGCAGGAUCCAGAGUAGGCCAGGACACGUGAAAUCCGGGCUGAAGCCGGGGAGACCACUCUCCAACCCUAAAUACUACUCUUUGACCGAUAGCGAACAAGUACCGUGAGGGAAAGGUGAAAAGAACCGCAGUGAGCGGAGUGAAAUAGAACCUGAAACCAUCUGCCUACAAUCAUUCGGAGCCCUAUGAUUUAUCAGGGUGACGGACUGCCUUUUGCAUAAUGAUCCUGCGAGUUGUGGUAUCUGGCGAGGUUAAGCAAACGCGAAGCCGUAGCGAAAGCGAGUCUGAAAGGGCGAUUAGUCAGAUGCUGCAGACCCGAAGCUGAGUGAUCUAUCCAUGGCCAAGUUGAAGCGAGUGUAAUAGCUCGUGGAGGACUGAACUCGUACCCAUUGAAACGGGUUGGGAUGAGCUGUGGAUAGGGGUGAAAGGCCAAACAAACUCAGUGAUAGCUGGUUCUCUCCGAAAUAUAUUUAGGUAUAGCCUCAAGUGAUAGUAAUAGGGGGUAGAGCUCUGAUUGGGCUAGGGCUGCUCACCGCGGUACCAAACCCUGUCAAACUUCGAAUACCUAUUACCGUAUCUUGGGAGUCAGGCGGUGGGUGAUAAAAUCAAUCGUCAAGAGGGGAACAACCCAGACUACCAAAUAAGGUCCCAAAGUUCUAUUCUGAGUGGAAAAAGAUGUACAGUUACUUAGACAACCAGGAGGUUGGCUUAGAAGCAGCCAUCCUUUAAAGAAAGCGUAACAGCUCACUGGUCUAGUGAUUGCGCGCUGAAAAUAUAACGGGGCUAAGAUAGACACCGAAUUUGUAGAUUACACGGCACAAUUUAGAUGAUCUAAAGUGCUUAUGUAUAAGCUUUAUUUCUUAGCUCAUAAAGUGAGUUAAGCAAAUAUCUAUAAGAUCGUUUAAAUUGUGCCGUGUAGUGGUAGGAGAGCGUUCGUAUCUGCGCUGAAGGUAUACCGGUAAGGAGUGCUGGAGCGAUGCGAAGUGAGCAUGCAGGAAUGAGUAGCGAUAAAAUAUGUGAGAAUCAUAUUCGCCGUAAGUCUAAGGUUUCCUACGCGAUGCUCGUCAUCGUAGGGUUAGUCGGGUCCUAAGCCGAGUCCGAAAGGGGUAGGCGAUGGCAAAUAGGUUAAUAUUCCUAUACCAACAUUAGUGUGCGAUGGAGGGACGCAUAGGGUUAGGUGAGCCAACUGAUGGAAUAGUUGGUCGAAGGGUGUAAGUUGGGAGAUUGGCAAAUCCGCUCCUGUAUCACAAACCUCACAGGCUCUUUGAAGUUUUCGGAUGGAAGAGAGAAUCACUGAUACCGUCGUGCCAAGAAAAGCUUCUAAGUUUAGCUAAUGUUGCCCGUACCGCAAACCGACACAGGUAGAUGAGAUGAGUAUUCUAAGGCGCGUGAAAGAACUCUGGUUAAGGAACUCUGCAAACUAGCACCGUAAGUUCGCGAUAAGGUGUGCCACAGCAAUGUGGUCUCAGCAAAGAGUCCCUCCCGACUGUUUACCAAAAACACAGCACUUUGCAAACUCGUAAGAGGAAGUAUAAGGUGUGACGCCUGCCCGGUGCUCGAAGGUUAAGAGGAUUAGUCAGCCGCAAGGUGAAGCUUUGAAUUGAAGCCCGAGUAAACGGCGGCCGUAACUAUAACGGUCCUAAGGUAGCGAAAUUCCUUGUCGGUUAAAUACCGACCUGCAUGAAUGGCGUAACGAGAUGGGAGCUGUCUCAACCAGGGAUUCAGUGAAAUUGUAGUGGAGGUGAAAAUUCCUCCUACCCGCGGCAAGACGGAAAGACCCCGUGGACCUUUACUACAGCUUGGCACUGCCGAUGGGAGCAUUAUGCGCAGGAUAGGUGGGAGGCUUUGAAAUCUUCACUCCGGUGGAGAUGGAGCCAUCCUUGAGAUACCACCCUUAAUGUUUCUGUCUGCUAACUGGCUUGAGUUAUCCUCAAGCAGGACAAUGCCUGGUGGGUAGUUUGACUGGGGCGGUCGCCUCCUAAAAAGUAACGGAGGCUUGCAAAGGUUGGCUCAUUGCGGUUGGAAAUCGCAAGUUGAGUGUAAUGGCAUAAGCCAGCCUGACUGUAAGACAAACAAGUCGAGCAGAGACGAAAGUCGGUCAUAGUGAUCCGGUGGUUCUGUGUGGAAGGGCCAUCGCUCAAAGGAUAAAAGGUACCCCGGGGAUAACAGGCUGAUCUCCCCCAAGAGCUCACAUCGACGGGGAGGUUUGGCACCUCGAUGUCGGCUCAUCGCAUCCUGGGGCUGGAGCAGGUCCCAAGGGUAUGGCUGUUCGCCAUUUAAAGCGGUACGCGAGCUGGGUUCAGAACGUCGUGAGACAGUUCGGUCCCUAUCUGCCGUGGGCGUAGGAAAGUUGAGGAGAGCUGUCCCUAGUACGAGAGGACCGGGAUGGACGUGCCACUAGUGUACCAGUUGUUCUGCCAAGGGCAUCGCUGGGUAGCUACGCACGGAUGUGAUAACCGCUGAAAGCAUCUAAGCGGGAAGCCAACUCCAAGAUUAACUUUCCCUGAAGGUCGCAAGAAGACUACUUGCUUGAUAGGUUAGAUGUGUAAGUGCAGUAAUGCAUUUAGCUGACUAAUACUAAUAGACCGUUUGGCUUAUUUUUAUCAAAUACAAA